Molecule: long non-coding RNA, 206 nt
Filed under: Mytilus galloprovincialis (Mediterranean mussel)
Lineage: Eukaryota; Metazoa; Mollusca; Bivalvia; Mytilida; Mytilidae
Source: RNAcentral
CUUGUAUCUACGUUGGCCAUUCUUUUUUACGAAGCAAAGCAAUACCAACUCUUUCAAUUUGUCUUUUAGUUUGGAAUGUGGAAUACUGGUGUAAAGAGUAGAAAAGUCAAAUGUUUUAAUACUGUUACAAGAUGAAAGAGAGUUAGAUUGUAUGUACUCUAAAAGAUCUUUGGAAUUUUUAAGUAUCCACAUCUGAUUCACGCCCC